Molecule: ribosomal RNA, 253 nt
Filed under: uncultured bacterium
Lineage: Bacteria
Description: partial 16S ribosomal RNA
Rfam family: Bacterial small subunit ribosomal RNA
Source: RNAcentral
AACGUAGGUUCCGAGCGUUAUCCGGAUUUACUGGGCGUAAAGCGCGUUCAGGCGGUUUGGCAAGUCGGGCAUGAAAUCUCUCGGCUCAACCGGGAGAGGUUGUCCGAUACUGCUGGACUUGAGGGCAGUAGAGGGUGGUGGAAUUCCGGGUGUAGUGGUGAAAUGCGUAGAUAUCCGGAGGAACACCAGUGGCGAAAGCGGCCACCUGGACUGCACCUGACGCUGAGACGCGAAAGCUAGGGGAGCGAACGGG